This 23-nucleotide non-coding RNA is filed under the name Arabidopsis thaliana (thale cress). The record is from RNAcentral. Lineage: Eukaryota; Viridiplantae; Streptophyta; Magnoliopsida; Brassicales; Brassicaceae.
AAUUUCCUUGGUCUUAUGCAGCA